This 490-nucleotide ribosomal RNA is filed under the name uncultured bacterium. Its description in RNAcentral is "partial 16S ribosomal RNA". It matches the Rfam family "Bacterial small subunit ribosomal RNA", at positions 28 to 507 of the family's 1533-position model. The record is from RNAcentral.
GAUGAACGCUAGCUACAGGCUUAACACAUGCAAGUCGCGGGGCAGCAUGGGGGUUGCUUGCAAUCCCCGAUGGCGACCGGCGCACGGGUGAGUAACGCGUAUCCAACCUGCCCUUCACCACGGCAUAACCCGGCGAAAGUCGGACUAAUACCGUAUGUUGUCCAUUGACUGCAUCCGAUUUGGACGAACUGGUUGGCGGUGAAGGAGGGGGAUGCGUCCGAUUUGCUGGACGGCGGGGUGACGGCCCACCGGGGCGCCGAUAGGUAGGGGUUCCGAGAGGAAGGUCCCCGACACUGGAACUGAGACACGGUCCAGACUCCUACGGGAGGCAGCAGUGAGGAAUAUUGGUCAAUGGGCGUAAGUCUGAACCAGCCAAGUAGCGUGCAGGAUGACGGCCCUAUGGGUUGUAAACUGCUUUUAUGCGGGGAUAAAGUGGCCCACGUGUGGGUUUUUGCAGGUACCGCAUGAAUAAGGACCGGCUAAUUCCGUG